AGAGUAUAAUGCAGCCAAGGAUGACUUGCCGGAGCGUUGUUCAUCAUGCAUAAAAAAUAUUGAUGAUGAUGAUGAUGGUGAUGAACAUAAUUCUGGCAAGUUGUCCUUCGGCUACAUUUUGCUCUCU
This 127-nucleotide microRNA precursor is filed under the name Brassica carinata (Ethiopian mustard). RNAcentral also lists the same sequence under 1 other name. The record is from RNAcentral. Lineage: Eukaryota; Viridiplantae; Streptophyta; Magnoliopsida; Brassicales; Brassicaceae.